AUAAAUUGACUUCCUGUGCCUGACCUGCAGGUGGCGGCCAUUCUGUUUCCUGGCCAUGGCUUCACUAAUUUAGGCCUGCUGGGCUCACGGGAAGCCCUUCAAAAACCGACUCCUUUCAGAUUAACAUGUAAAAUUUAAUUACGGAGGUCCAGGCUGAGAUGAUGUCUAAAGCCAUUUACUAAGCCCGGCGGCCUACCCGUCCUGGGGCUAAGGAGGCAGAAGCAGAGCUUUGAUCAUUAACCGCUGAGAAAAUCUCAGCUUGCAUAUUAAGAGAAGUGGCAGCGCUUUUAACCCCUUUGGGAUGAGGACAGCAGACAUGGAGACAGCCAAAGGGAUGUAGAACCUCCUAUGAACUUCAAGAGAACAUUUCCGGGAGGAGCAGGUUGUGGCUUUCUAGGAGACCUUGGGACUGGCUUUGCCUAUAAUCACAUUUCCCCUCCCAGGAAGGAGGGCAGGGGAGGGGGCGGGGGGGGGGGGGGGGGGGGGGGGGGGGGAGGGAGGAGGGGCUUAAACUCUACAAGCACAAACUUCUGGGACUUCUGCCACCUUUGAAGCCUGUUGUGAGGCUGUCUUUCCACAGAGGACCCAGCUCUGGUUUUAAUGAUCAGAAGGCCUGAAGGGGCUGUCUUCUCACCCGGAUGGGUCCUUGGCAGACUCCUGGCCUGCCUUCCACGGCUCUUU
This 681-nucleotide long non-coding RNA is filed under the name Mus caroli (Ryukyu mouse). RNAcentral's name for it is "lncRNA (MGP_CAROLIEiJ_G0004823.1)". Lineage: Eukaryota; Metazoa; Chordata; Mammalia; Rodentia; Muridae. The record is from RNAcentral.